RNAcentral lists this ribosomal RNA (501 nucleotides) under uncultured Sphingobacteriales bacterium. Its description in RNAcentral is "bacterial SSU rRNA". It matches the Rfam family "Bacterial small subunit ribosomal RNA", at positions 903 to 1382 of the family's 1533-position model. Lineage: Bacteria; Pseudomonadati; Bacteroidota; Sphingobacteriia; Sphingobacteriales. The record is from RNAcentral.
UUGCCAGCCCGCUCAAGAAACUACAAAGGAAUUGACGGGGCCCGCACAAGCGGAGGAGCAUGUGGUUUAAUUCGAUGAUACGCGAGGAACCUUACCUGGGCUCGAACGUAAGAUGACUGUAGGUGAAAGCUUACAUCUCUUCGGAGCAUUUUACGAGGUGCUGCAUGGUUGUCGUCAGCUCGUGCCGUGAGGUGUCGGGUUAAGUCCCAUAACGAGCGCAACCCCUACCUUUAGUUGCCAUCAGGUUAAGCUGGGGACUCUAAAGGAACUGCCUACGCAAGUAGUGAGGAAGCGGGGAUGACGUCAAAUCAGCACGGCCCUUACGUCCAGGGCUACACACGUGCUACAAUGGCCGAUACAGAGGGCAGCUACCUGGUGACAGGAUGCAAAUCUCCAAAGUCGGUCUCAGUUCGGAUCGGAGUCUGCAACCCGACUCCGUGAAGUUGGAUUCGCUAGUAAUCGCGCAUCAGCCAUGGCGCGGUGAAUACGUUCCCGGGCCUU